UGGGAGCUCACAAUCUCAUGGG
RNAcentral lists this microRNA (22 nucleotides) under Monodelphis domestica (gray short-tailed opossum). RNAcentral describes it as "mdo-miR-7286b-5p". The record is from miRBase by way of RNAcentral. Lineage: Eukaryota; Metazoa; Chordata; Mammalia; Didelphimorphia; Didelphidae.